This 497-nucleotide ribosomal RNA is filed under the name uncultured bacterium. RNAcentral describes it as "partial 16S ribosomal RNA". It matches the Rfam family "Bacterial small subunit ribosomal RNA", at positions 28 to 507 of the family's 1533-position model. The record is from RNAcentral.
GAUGAACGCUGGCGGCGUGCCUAAUACAUGCAAGUCGAGCGAACAGAUGAGGAGCUUGCUCCUCUGACGUCAGCGGCGGACGGGUGAGUAACACGUGGAUAACCUACCUAUAAGACUGGGAUAACUUCGGGAAACCGGAGCUAAUACCGGAUAAUAUAUUGAACCGCAUGGUUCAAUAGUGAAAGACGGUUUUGCUGUCACUUAUAGAUGGAUCCGCGCCGCAUUAGCUAAUUGGUAAGGUAACGGCUUACCAAGGCAACGAUGCGUAGCCGACCUGAGAGGGUGAUCGGCCACACUGGAACUGAGACACGGUCCAGACUCCUACGGGAGGCAGCAGUAGGGAAUCUUCCGCAAUGGGCGAAAGCUUGACGGAGCAACGCCGCGUGAGUGAUGAAGGUCUUCGGAUCGUAAAACUCUGUUAUUAGGGAAGAACAAAUGUGUAAGUAACUAUGCACGUCUUGACGGUACCUAAUCAGAAAGCCACGGCUAACUACGUG